RNAcentral lists this ribosomal RNA (292 nucleotides) under uncultured bacterium. RNAcentral's name for it is "partial 16S ribosomal RNA". It matches the Rfam family "Bacterial small subunit ribosomal RNA", at positions 505 to 796 of the family's 1533-position model. The record is from RNAcentral.
GUGCCAGCAGCCGCGGUAAAACGUAGGUGGCAAGCGUUAUCCGGAUUUACUGGGCGUAAAGCAUGUGCAGACGGGUUGGUAAGUGGUGUAUGAAAGCGUUCGGCUUAACCGAGCAAGCGUAUGCCAGACUGCCAGUCUUGAGAGUGGGAGAGGGAUGUGGAAUUCCGGGUGUAGUGGUGAAAUGCGUAGAGAUCCGGAGGAACCCCAGAGGCGAAGGCGGCGUCCUGGCCCAUUUCUGACGUUCAGACAUGACAGCAUGGGGAGCGAACGGGAUUAGAAACCCCAGUAGUCC